Molecule: long non-coding RNA, 498 nt
Organism: Vidua macroura (Pin-tailed whydah)
Lineage: Eukaryota; Metazoa; Chordata; Aves; Passeriformes; Viduidae
Exons: 2
Source: RefSeq, a predicted model, not a curated record
AGGCUGCUCCAAGCCCCAAUGUCCAACCUGGCCUUGGGCACUGCCAGGGAUCCAGGGGCAGCCACAGCUGCUCUGGGCACCCUGUGCCAGGGCCUGCCUACCCUCCCAGGGAACAAUUCCCUCCCAAAAUCCAAACUAAAUUUACCCUUCUUCAGCUCCAAACCAUCCCCCUUUUUCAUGACUGUGCCUCUGCAUCUCCCCUCUCCCACCAGUGACAUUUGCACAAUGCAGUUUCCAUUUCCCAGUUUGACACUUUAUUUAUCAAAGCAAGAAGCCAGUAGAUAAAGACUUUCCAGAAACAGCCUGGGAUUCUUGGAUUCUUCUGAGCUUCCCUGCCUCAAGAACAACAUGUGCCUUGUCUUCCCUUCGCUUUGCUUAUCAGAUUCCAGCCAAAAUGAAUGGGCAGAGCUCUUACAAACAGAGAAAUUAAAUGAAAACAACACCAGUGCCAAGUUCUCUGCAAACACAGGAGUGAAAUGAAAAAUGCCACUCGCUGGA